This 253-nucleotide ribosomal RNA is filed under the name uncultured bacterium. RNAcentral describes it as "partial 16S ribosomal RNA". It matches the Rfam family "Bacterial small subunit ribosomal RNA", at positions 524 to 776 of the family's 1533-position model. The record is from RNAcentral.
UACGAAGGAUUCGAGCGUUGUCCGGAUUUAUUGGGUUUAAAGGGUGCGUAGGUGGACUAAUAAGUCAGUGGUGAAAGCCCGCAGCUUAACUGCGGAACUGCCAUUGAUACUGUUAGUCUUGAGUACAGUUGAGGUGGGCGGAAUGUGUCAUGUAGCGGUGAAAUGCUUAGAUAUGACACAGAACACCGAUUGCGAAGGCAGCUCACUAAGCUGUAACUGACACUGAGGCACGAAAGUGUGGGUAGCAAACAGG